Molecule: long non-coding RNA, 2962 nt
Filed under: Citrus sinensis (sweet orange)
Lineage: Eukaryota; Viridiplantae; Streptophyta; Magnoliopsida; Sapindales; Rutaceae
Description: long non-coding RNA (CSIN_LNC004033)
Source: RNAcentral
UCCACCCAGAUACUCGGCCGAGAAUAUGGCCACCAUCGUUCUCUUUCCUUCCACUGAUUUAAGCCCAGCACUGAUUACUAAUUCUUCCGGAAGCUUAUACGCAAUCUGCUGCCAUUUGUGAUGGAUCUGUGUUGCAUUCUGUUCCAAGGUUCUUACAACUGUGAAUACAGUCACAGUUGACGGGACAUCCACUAGGUUCACUUUCCAAGCGACAAGGAUUCCGAAGCUAGCUACCCCACCUCCUCGAAUGGCCCAAAAAAGAUCUUCUCCCAUUGAUUUUCUAUCAAGAAUCCUGCCAUUAACGUCCAUCAAGUGAGCAUCAAUUACUUGAUCAGCAGCAAGACCGUAUUUACGCAUUAAGUAGCCAAACCCUCCACCACUUAAAUGUCCACCAACCCCUACAGUGGGGCAAACUCCUGCCGGAAAGGCAAGAAGGUUGUUACUUUCCUCAGAAACUUUGUAAUAUAGUUCCCCAAGGGUGGCACCAGCUCCAACCCAUGCUGUCUUCUCUUCUGCAUCGACGUCGAUUUGAUUAAAGUUUAUCAAAUCAAUCAUCACAAAUGGAACCUCAGAAACGUAAGAGAGACCCUCAUGAUCAUGACCCCCACUUCGAACUAUGGUUCGUAGGCCAUGUUUUCGGGCACAUUUGAGGACCGAUUGAAUUUGUGAUACGUGAAAUGGCGUGACAAUGACUUGAGGUCUCCGGUACUCGGGCGAUGCGUACAGAAGAUUUUGUUUUAAAUUAUUCAAUAUCGAUAUAUAUGAAGAGUUGCUUUGGGUAAAAAUUACUUUAGAAAUGAAGGUGUUCUCAGAGUGUAGAGAGAGGCAUUGAAGAAACUUCUGAUUAGUGUCGUGAUGAACAUGAUCAUCAGCUAAAGCUAUCCCAUGAAGAAAUGAUAACACAAGAACUAAAGUAGUAGUAGAAAUAUUAAAUGGGAGAAUUGAUGUAGUGCUUUUAGUUUGGGGCUUCAUUUUGGUAGAUGUCUGAUGAUGUGUGAGUAGCCAAAUGAAUUCUAUCCCUUAAAUAUAUAUCCUUUCAAUCCAACAGCUCUCCUUGACCCAAUAAUUUUAAUAGUGUGGUAUGCGGUGUAUGAUUGUUGACAAAUAUUGUAUGUUAAUAGUUUUAUAUUCUAAUCAUGAUUGAUUAUAUAUUAUGAUAUAUUACAUCAAUGCACGAACAAUUUUGCGACUGGCUGCAUGUAUAUGUUCGGACAUAGAGUGGAAUAUUUGACGGUCCUAUUGGGUGGGCUUCUUAUAUUUAUUGUGAAAUGCAGUAUGACACCUGAAACAGUCUAAAUAAAUUAAUUGUUUAAAAAAAUAUAAAGUAACAUUGCGAUUUCAUUCGGUACUUAUGUUGGGGGAGAAUAAUGCAAAAAGAUUGUUCAAAUAAUAUUUAACUUCAUCAACCCUUUCGACCGACGGUGAAAGAUCUUAACAGAAGCAGCCUUGUAAAUAGGAGAGCAUAUCGAUGACUAAAUCAGCCAGCUGUCGUUAACAACAAAUUAUCCGUUAUUCAUCUUAACACCGUUGAUACUGUUCCCCGUUUAAGCAUAAUUCCCGUCUUCUGACUAAUUUACCCUUCCCGUGAGAGCUGAUGAGGUGACACGAUGCCGCAGUGGAACCAAACCACUGUAGUCCCUACAGCCUGGCCGUUUUGAUCAUUAUCAAAAUGCAAAUGGGCAAGACAAAAAUGUUACACUAAAGAUGCAUUUAUUACUAUAAAAUUCCAGCCGCGAAUCCAUACAAAGCAGAAAUUACCAUUUAACAAAUGCGAUCAAGCAGUAGGUAGUUGAUACAUAAUCCACGAAGGUUUAUUAAAAGGGAGACUUUGUAUGCGAUCAAGCAGUAGUAGUAGUAGUUGAUACAUAAUCACUGAAGGUUUAUUGAAAGGGAAACUUUAUACUAACAACGCCAUCGAUCACGUUAUAUUAUUUUUUCAACGUCUCUAUUGAUUAAUUAAUGAUUUCUCUUCCUACUGCCCUGGCGAACGCGGGAUGGGAUGCUUUGUUCGUUUCUAAAGAAAUUAUCAGGAUCCGCCUUAGUUUUGACAUCAACCAAUCUUUUGAAAUUGUUCUUGAAGUAUUUGUUUCCCCAAACGCCGGCUUCUUCGACGCUUGUGUAAUUGUCACCAAAGUUAUUUCUUCCGAUUUCCAGAUCCUUGCAAUUGAAAUAUGUAGCUCGGGGAUUUUUGGUAACAUAGGGAGCCAUGUAAUCGUACAGCUUUCUGUCCAACUCAAUCACCCUUUGGGAUUCUUCAUCAUCAUACCAUUCCGCAUAAUACAUGAGGUGGAAUUUGUUGCUCCUGUGCGGGAAUGCGGUUGCCGUCUCCGAGAUCUCGUUGAAUCUUCCGCCAUAAGGAAAUGAAAUCACGUAAAUGUUGUGCCCUCCUUCUUCAUACAGAACCUCAUACAUCCCUUCCAAGGCUUCGACAGGAAUAGGUUCCCUCACGUAGUCAGAUUUUGCUUUCAUGUAGUAUUUGGCAUAACUAAGCCUGUCAAGCAAUAACUCCAAAUUCAGAUUCUCUUUUGCGUUGAAUGCACGAUGGUAGACGGUUGAUUCAACCCAGCUCAUUUCUUGGCAAUCUUCUUUCCUCACACCAAGCUCAGGGAACCUCUCCUGCAUCAGCGGAAGCAGCCUAUCUACUCCACCCAGAUACUCGGCCGAGAAUAUGGCCACCAUCGUUCUCUUUCCUUCCACUGAUUUAAGCCCAGCACUGAUUACUAAUUCUUCCGGAAGCUUAUACGCAAUCUGCUGCCAUUUGUGAUGGAUCUGUGUUGCAUUCUGUUCCAAGGUUCUUACAACUGUGAAUACAGUCACAGUUGACGGGACAUCCACUAGGUUCACUUUCCAAGCGACAAGGAUUCCGAAGCUAGCUACCCCACCUCCUCGAAUGGCCCAAAAAAGAUCUUCUCCCAUUGAUUUUCUAUCAAGAAUCCUGCCAUUAACGUCCAUCAAGUGAGCA